AUUAAGUAUAGUCACUAGAUACAUGGAUUCAAAAAAGUUGAGCUUUCUCCUUGUGCUCUUGGUGAUUGAGUCAUGUUCGUCUCACUUUUUCUAUAUUUAUGUGUAUGAUACGAUCACAUGUAUAUGUGUUCAUAUAACAAUUCAUUUCUAUGUUUAAGAAUUCAUUUGUUUGUUGCAGGUGUUUUACUUGAUGUUGAAGCAAGAGGACGUGUGGUUAUUUUCCAUUGUACGAGUGACCAGGAUUGCGCCAACAGUUGUCAGGGAAUUGGUGCGCCAAAGUGCAUCAAAACACUGUGUGAAUGUUUCCCUCCAGUCACAGGCGGCAUGAACAAGUCUGGUGUUAAUAAGGAAAUCUUGAAUAAUUGAAUUGAAGAAGCAUGCUCAUGAAGUAUGAACUUCAAAGCCUUUUCUGUAAUAAAGGCUUCAUAAUAAUGUAAUAAAUCAUUACUCCCGAGGG
This 457-nucleotide long non-coding RNA is filed under the name Olea europaea (common olive). Its description in RNAcentral is "long non-coding RNA (OEUR_LNC009782)". The record is from RNAcentral. Lineage: Eukaryota; Viridiplantae; Streptophyta; Magnoliopsida; Lamiales; Oleaceae.